RNAcentral lists this long non-coding RNA (1822 nucleotides) under Salmo salar (Atlantic salmon). Its description in RNAcentral is "lncRNA (ENSSSAG00000121782.1)". The record is from RNAcentral. Lineage: Eukaryota; Metazoa; Chordata; Actinopteri; Salmoniformes; Salmonidae.
CCCCUGAAGUAGUUUUCCUGUGUUUUGUCACCUCAUCUCUUGAUGUGUAUCAGUUCAGGAGUGUUAAUAGGAGUGUUAAUAUGUUAAUAUGUUUUAUGGAAAAAAUAGUUACAAUUUAAAUAGCCUACCUGACAACAUGUAGGCCUACUGAUUAGUAACUUUGAAAACUGCUGUCUGUCAGCAACUCAGCUCAAGUAGCAGUUCUACUAACUAGUAAUAUCUCAUUCCAGGUAUUCAUUCUCUUACUCUGUCCAUUAGAAUAAAUUAUUGUUCAGAAAUACUUUAUUUUUCAGUUCUCUCCAUAUAGUGUUUUCUGCUCUGUCGUCUCAAAAUGGAUCCUGAACAAAAUAACAACUUUACUUUGUGUUUCAGCUCAGCCGUCUCCCCACCCUGAUAAUAAAGUGUUUUAUUGGUAUCUUCCACUAGAUGGCAGUAAACACCUGCUGUAACUAGACUUUACAACUAUGUGUUCGGUUUUAUACAGGCAGUGUCCCAGAGGAGGAGUGCUGAUCUAGGAUCAGGUCCCCCCUCUCCAUGUAAUCUGAUUCAUUAUAAUCUAGGAUCAGGUCCCCCCUCUCCAUGUAAUCUGAUUCAUUAUGAUCUAGGAUCAGGUCCCUCCUCUCCAUGUAAUCUGAUUCAUUAUAAUCUAGGAUCAGGUCCCCCCUCUCCAUGUAAUCUGAUUCAUUAUGAUCUAGGAUCAGGUCCCUCCUCUCCCUGUAAUCUGAUUCAUUAUAAUCUGGGAUCAGGUCCCCCUCUCCAUGUAAUCUGAUUCAUUAUGAUCUAGGAUCAGGUCCCCUCCUCUCCAUGUAAUCUGAUUCAUUAUGAUCUGGGAUCAGGUCCCUCCUCUCCAUGUAAUCUGAUUCAUUAUGAUCUAGGAUCAGGUCCCUCCUCUCCAUGUAAUCUGAUUCAUUAUGAUCUAGGAUCAGGUCCCUCCUCUCCAUGUAAUCUUAUUCAUUAUGAUCUAGGAUCAGGUCCCCUCCUCUCCAUGUAAUCUGAUUCAUUAUGAUCUAGGAUCAGGUCCCUCCUCUCCAUGUAAUCUGAUUCAUUAUAAUCUAGGAUCAGGUCCCUCCUCUCCAUGUAAUCUGAUUCAUUAUGAUCUAGGAUCAGGUCCCUCCUCUCCAUGUAAUCUUAUUCAUUAUGAUCUAGGAUCAGGUCCCCUCCUCUCCAUGUAAUCUGAUUCAUUAUGAUCUAGGAUCAGGUCCCUCCUCUCUAUGUAAUCUGAUUCAUUAUGAUCUAGGAUCAGGUCCCUCCUCUCCAUGUAAUCUGAUUCAUUAUGAUCUAAAAGGCUAAACUGACCCUAGAUCAGCUCUCCUGCUCUUUAUGAAUACUGUCACAGGUGACUCCUCAAGAUCAGGCUCGUGAUGUAUAAGUUCUAUUCUUUAAGAAUCAAUUACUAUCAUUCAUUGAACUGCUUUGCCAUGAACAGAUCUGUGAGGUCUUAACUUAAAGGUACUUUAUAGAUCUUAUGGUCAUUUUAAUGGGGUUGAACAUCCAUCCAAUCAGAUUGUGUAAAGGAUUUUAUGAGUUCAGAAAAAUAGCAACUUGGAAGCAUCUCUCUGACCUCACCCUGCUGAAACACACUCAAGUAAAGACCACAUAUCUACAGUUAAAUGCUUGUCUGUUUCUACCCACUUUUACAGCCAAUGUAUGGACUGGUAUCCAUAUGAAUCAGUAGAAUAUACAGACCAGUUAACCACCUCUCAGUAGAUGGACCCACACAGAACUUUAUAUAUACAGACUAGUUAACCACCUCCCAGUAGAUGGAACACAGAACUUUAUAUAUACAGACCAGUUAACCACCUCCCAGUAGAUGGACCCACAC